CUCGCCUUUUAGCUAUUAGCUAAGAUUAAGUAUAUGAUUUGUUCUUAUUAGUUUAAUAUAUGAUACAUGGGACACGUCUACAAUGAUAUUAAAUUUAUUUUUUGUGAGAAAGAAUUUGUAAUGAUAGCUUGUUACUAGAGUUCUUGUGUAUUGCUCUAAUAUUGUAUUGCUGCUUGGGUUUGGUGCACCCCAA
Molecule: small nuclear RNA, 193 nt
Organism: Phragmites australis (common reed)
Lineage: Eukaryota; Viridiplantae; Streptophyta; Magnoliopsida; Poales; Poaceae
Product: U2 spliceosomal RNA
Exons: 1
Source: RefSeq, a predicted model, not a curated record